UACGUAGGGGGCAAGCGUUGUCCGGAAUCAUUGGGCGUAAAGCGCGUGUAGGCGGCUCGAUAAGUCUGCUGUGAAAGUCCAAGGCUCAACCUUGGGAUGCCGGUGGAUACUGUCGAGCUCGAGUCCGGAAGAGGAGUGUGGAAUUCCUGGUGUAGCGGUGAAAUGCGCAGAUAUCAGGAGGAACACCGGUGGCGAAGGCGGCGACCUGGGUCGAUACUGACGCUGAGGAGCGAAAGUGUGGGGAGCGAACAGG
This 253-nucleotide ribosomal RNA is filed under the name uncultured bacterium. RNAcentral describes it as "partial 16S ribosomal RNA". It matches the Rfam family "Bacterial small subunit ribosomal RNA", at positions 524 to 776 of the family's 1533-position model. The record is from RNAcentral.